This 394-nucleotide unclassified non-coding RNA is filed under the name Hevea brasiliensis (rubber tree). The record is from RNAcentral. Lineage: Eukaryota; Viridiplantae; Streptophyta; Magnoliopsida; Malpighiales; Euphorbiaceae.
AUUUCCUAGCAUGGCAGCUUUAAUAUGUUUAACUCAUCAAUUUUCCAGAAAGUUAUUGCUGGAAUCUGAAGCCUAAUCCCCAAGAUUUAUUUCUCAUUCUCUACAGUUCCUUGAUUGAGCUCCUCAAGAAUUAAUAUAGUUCUUUAGUUUAUUCUUUUCAGCACAUUAGAAUUUCAGCGGUUUCUCCAGAACCUAAUUUCUUUUUAUUAAAGCAUGAGUAUUAAUUGUUUAAAUAAAUUGUAACAUCAAUAUAGGAUCUGAUUUUUCCACCAAAGAUAUAGUUCCAUUAGUUUAACACUGAACAUGCGCCAGCAAAUGCAUGGAGACAAAUGCAGAAAAGAAAAUAUCAAUAAGAAGCAAUUGAUUGAAUACAUAAUCGAUACCAUGACAUCAA